AGCGGUAGAGAGAAGCUUGCUUCUCUUGAGAGCGGCGGACGGGUGAGUAAUGCCUAGGAAUCUGCCUGGUAGUGGGGGAUAACGUUCGGAAACGGACGCUAAUACCGCAUACGUCCUACGGGAGAAAGCAGGGGACCUUCGGGCCUUGCGCUAUCAGAUGAGCCUAGGUCGGAUUAGCUAGUUGGUGGGGUAAUGGCUCACCAAGGCGACGAUCCGUAACUGGUCUGAGAGGAUGAUCAGUCACACUGGAACUGAGACACGGUCCAGACUCCUACGGGAGGCAGCAGUGGGGAAUAUUGGACAAUGGGCGAAAGCCUGAUCCAGCCAUGCCGCGUGUGUGAAGAAGGUCUUCGGAUUGUAAAGCACUUUAAGUUGGGAGGAAGGGUUGUAGAUUAAUACUCUGCAAUUUUGACGUUACCGACAGAAUAAGCACCGGCUAACUCUGUGCCAGCAGCCGCGGUAAUACAGAGGGUGCAAGCGUUAAUCGGAAUUACUGGGCGUAAAGCGCGCGUAGGUGGUUUGUUAAGUUGGAUGUGAAAUCCCCGGGCUCAACCUGGGAACUGCAUUCAAAACUGACUGACUAGAGUAUGGUAGAGGGUGGUGGAAUUUCCUGUGUAGCGGUGAAAUGCGUAGAUAUAGGAAGGAACACCAGUGGCGAAGGCGACCACCUGGACUAAUACUGACACUGAGGU
This 692-nucleotide ribosomal RNA is filed under the name Pseudomonas sp. Y4_345_3. RNAcentral's name for it is "bacterial SSU rRNA". It matches the Rfam family "Bacterial small subunit ribosomal RNA", at positions 65 to 752 of the family's 1533-position model. The record is from RNAcentral. Lineage: Bacteria; Pseudomonadati; Pseudomonadota; Gammaproteobacteria; Pseudomonadales; Pseudomonadaceae.